RNAcentral lists this small RNA (464 nucleotides) under Histoplasma capsulatum var. duboisii H88. RNAcentral's name for it is "Histoplasma capsulatum H88 hypothetical RNA". The record is from RNAcentral. Lineage: Eukaryota; Fungi; Ascomycota; Eurotiomycetes; Onygenales; Ajellomycetaceae.
CCCGGUUAUUGACAUCCUCCCCGUUCUGCAAAGUCGAACUCCGUGCUCAAACUCAAGAAGCAAGUUCAUUGCCUAUGUGAGGAUAGUGAUCGUGUUUACCUCCCGUAGCAGUGUUUGUGACGGAUGCGACCCCAGGUCUAACUAGGAUGUCACUGGAUUCAUAAUAUGAUCGUGUUGUAAGGGCAGUAUAGUAACCAUCGACCGAUUGUACAAGGGCAAAGAAAGGAAACGAAGCCUCUCGGAGUCAGACUAAGGUGCUGUGUGACCCAUGAUUAACAAGUGUUUUCGAAACCAUUGUUAUUUGUAGUAGUAAUUUAAUGGGAGUGUAAGCUGGGGAGGAUAUCGAUCCUAAAAUAAUGGCGAACGAAUGCUGGUAUGUACAGUAACUUUUACAAUUGUAAUUCAAAGUUGGAAAUAUUAAAAAACACUCUGUCAGUAAAAUAUGUGAAAUAUGUUUGAGGCUG